CACCCAGCGGGGCAGGCGCCAGGCGCCGGUCGGAAUUGGAACAGGGGCCGACCAUGUGCCCGCCGGGGAAGCGCAGGGGCCGGAUGUCGGGGGACAUUCGGCCCCUUUUUU
This 111-nucleotide antisense RNA is filed under the name Lysobacter arseniciresistens ZS79. RNAcentral describes it as "Lysobacter sp. ZS79 Xanthomonadaceae sRNA asX1". It matches the Rfam family "Xanthomonadaceae sRNA asX1". The record is from Rfam by way of RNAcentral. Lineage: Bacteria; Pseudomonadati; Pseudomonadota; Gammaproteobacteria; Lysobacterales; Lysobacteraceae.